CCAUGAAGAAGUGGAUUUCUUUCAAGAAAUUGGAUGUGACCAGAUUGACGAUUCUUGUCUUUGAUGAGGCUGAUCAACUGCUUGCUGAGGAUGGUUUUAAGGAUGAUUCCUUGAGGAUAAUGAAAGAAAUAGAAAAAUUCAAUUCUAGCUGCCAGGUU
This is a non-coding RNA of Arachis ipaensis, 158 nucleotides long. Lineage: Eukaryota; Viridiplantae; Streptophyta; Magnoliopsida; Fabales; Fabaceae. The record is from RefSeq and is a predicted model, not a curated record.